RNAcentral lists this ribosomal RNA (699 nucleotides) under uncultured bacterium. RNAcentral's name for it is "bacterial SSU rRNA". It matches the Rfam family "Bacterial small subunit ribosomal RNA", at positions 28 to 694 of the family's 1533-position model. The record is from RNAcentral.
GACGAACGCUGGCGGCGUGCCUAAUACAUGCAAGUCGAGCGAGCAAUUUUGACGGAAUACUUCGGUAGGGAGUCAGAAGCGCGAGCGGCGGAUGGGUGAGUAACACGUGGGCAACCUGCCCUUUAGCUUGGGAUACCACUUGGAAACAGGUGCUAAUACCAAAUAAGCAGCACGAGCGCAUGCUCAAGCUGAGAAAGGCGGCUUUCGAGCUGUCACUAAAGGAUGGGCCCGCGGUGCAUUAGCUAGUUGGUAAGGUAACGGCCUACCAAGGCGAUGAUGCAUAGCCGAGUUGAGAGACUGACCGGCCACAUUGGGACUGAGACACGGCCCAAACUCCUACGGGAGGCAGCAGUAGGGAAUCUUCCACAAUGGACGCAAGUCUGAUGGAGCAACGCCGCGUGAGUGAAGAAGGUUUUCGGAUCGUAAAGCUCUGUUGUUGGUGAAGAAGGACAAGGAAAGUAACUGAUCUUUGUUUGACGGUAAUCAACCAGAAAGUCACGGCUAACUACGUGCCAGCAGCCGCGGUAAUACGUAGGUGGCAAGCGUUGUCCGGAUUUAUUGGGCGUAAAGCGAACGCAGGCGGGAAGAUAAGUCAGCUGUGAAAGCCCCCAGCUUAACUGGGGAACUGCAGCUGAAACUAUGUUUCUUGAGUGCAGAAGAGGAGAGUGGAACUCCAUGUGUAGCGGUGGAAUGCGUAGA